This 330-nucleotide ribosomal RNA is filed under the name uncultured Bacillota bacterium. RNAcentral's name for it is "bacterial SSU rRNA". It matches the Rfam family "Bacterial small subunit ribosomal RNA", at positions 28 to 351 of the family's 1533-position model. Lineage: Bacteria; Bacillati; Bacillota. The record is from RNAcentral.
GACGAACGCUGGCGGCGUGCUUAACACAUGCAAGUUGAACGGAGCACAUCAAGUAGCAAUACGAGGUGUGCUUAGUAGCGGACGGGUGAGUAACGCGUGAGUAACCUACCUUUGUGAGGGGGACAACAGCUGGAAACGGCUGCUAAUACCGCAUAAGGCCACGACUCCGAUUGGAGACGAGGUAAAAGAUUUAUCGCACAAAGAUGGACUCGCGUCCCAUUAGCUAGUUGGUGAGGUAACGGCCCACCAAGGCGACGAUGGGUAGCCGACCUGAGAGGGUGAUCGGCCACACUGGAACUGAGACACGGUCCAGACUCCUACGGGUGGCAG